GGGGAACGCAGGGAACACCUAGGGCUCACUUCGGCAGCUCAAACACUGAAGUAGGAAAACAUGGAAAGACACGAAGAGGAGAAAAGAGAGAGCUACAUUACGUGGAUGUAAUACAGAAAUGGAACUUUCUGAAUAUGAUGUCAUAAUGUCUGUACAUUAUCCGUUUUACAACUAGCCUGAGACUUCUUCAUCAGCUAUGCGCUGCAGAACAGCAAAGCAAAAAUCUGAACUCAAUCAAAGCUGAAAACUCUAAUCUUAGUAGAGGUGGAUAAAAUAUAGUCCACUUGUUAUAUAUUAUAUUUACUAUUUCUUUUAGCACUAAAAUAAAGCUUAAGUUACA
Chinchilla lanigera (long-tailed chinchilla) is the source of this 340-nucleotide long non-coding RNA. RefSeq lists it as uncharacterized. The record is from RefSeq and is a predicted model, not a curated record. Lineage: Eukaryota; Metazoa; Chordata; Mammalia; Rodentia; Chinchillidae. The transcript has 2 exons.